CGGACGGGUGAGUAACGCGUGAGGAACCUGCCUCAGAGAGGGGGGAUAACACACCGAAAGGUGUGCUAAUACCGCAUAACAUAUGAGAGGGGCAUCCCUUUUAUAUCAAAGAUUUAUUGCUCUGAGAUGGCCUCGCGUCCAAUUAGCUAGUUGGUGAGGUAACGGCCCACCAAGGCGACGAUUGGUAGCCGGACUGAGAGGUUGAACGGCCACAUUGGGACUGAGACACGGCCCAGACUCCUACGGAAGGCAGCAG
RNAcentral lists this ribosomal RNA (256 nucleotides) under uncultured bacterium. RNAcentral's name for it is "partial 16S ribosomal RNA". It matches the Rfam family "Bacterial small subunit ribosomal RNA", at positions 99 to 354 of the family's 1533-position model. The record is from RNAcentral.